RNAcentral lists this ribosomal RNA (322 nucleotides) under uncultured eukaryote. RNAcentral's name for it is "partial 18S ribosomal RNA". It matches the Rfam family "Eukaryotic small subunit ribosomal RNA", at positions 1470 to 1796 of the family's 1831-position model. The record is from RNAcentral.
CCCUUAGAUGUUCUGGGCCGCACGCGUGCUACACUGAGUGGAUCAGCGGGUCAGGUUGCGCGAAAGUGUUUCCUAAUCUUGAAAUCCGCUCGUGAUGGGGAUUGACGGUUGCAAUUUUCCGUCAUGAACGAGGAAUACCUUGUAAGCGCGGGUCAUCAUCCCGCGCUGAAUACGUCCCUGCCCUUUGUACACACCGCCCGUCGCUCCUACCGAUUGAGUGGUCCGGUGAGGCUUUGGGAUCUGAGCGGAAAGAGCGUUUCGCUGUUUCUACUCGGAAAACUCAGUCGAACCUUAUCAUUUAGAGGAAGGAGAAGUCGUAACA